This 253-nucleotide ribosomal RNA is filed under the name uncultured bacterium. RNAcentral's name for it is "partial 16S ribosomal RNA". It matches the Rfam family "Bacterial small subunit ribosomal RNA", at positions 524 to 776 of the family's 1533-position model. The record is from RNAcentral.
GACGAACCGUGCGAACGUUGUUCGGAAUCACUGGGCUUAAAGGGCGCGUAGGCGGCUCGCGAGGUCGGGGGUGAAAUCCCACGGCUCAACCGUGGAAGGGCCUCCGAUACCGGCGGGCUGGAGGGAGGUAGGGGUGCGCGGAACUUCUGGUGGAGCGGUGAAAUGCGUUGAUAUCAGAAGGAACGCCGGCGGCGAAAGCGGCGCACUGGACCUCUACUGACGCUGAGGCGCGAAAGCCAGGGGAGCAAACGGG